AAGUUAAAUAUCUCCUUUAUUGCCACUGGCUGUCAGAAACUCACUGAAGUAGACUAUGAAUGCAAGUACCAUACAUCACCAUAUAUUCUCUGAGAAAUCCAUGGCCACAGAAGUAGCUACUGAUGCUCUGGGUGAAGAGUGGAAGGGUUAUGUGGUCCAGAUCAGUGGUGGGAAUAACAUACAAGGUUUUUCCAUGAAUCAAGGCAUUUUGACCCAUGGCAGCAUGUGCCUGCUGGUGAGUAAGGUGCAUUCUUGUUAUAUUCCAAGGAGAACUGGAGAGAGAAAGUGCAAGUCUGUUUACAGAUACAUUGAGGGUGCCAAUCUAAGUGUUCUAAACUUGGUUAUUGUGGGAAAAAAAAGGAGAGCAGGAUAUUCCUGGACUGAAAGUUAUUACCGUGCCUUGCCUGUUGGGACCUAAAAGAGUUAGUAGAAUCUGAAAGCUUUUAAUUCUCUCUAAAGAAGAUGAUCUUGGCCAUUAUGUUGUCAGAAAGCCCUUAAACAAAGAAGAUAAGAAGCCCAGAUCCAAAGCACCAAAGAUUCAGCGUCUUGUUACUCCACAUGCCCUGAAACACAAAUGUGGACAUACUGCUCUGAAGAAACAACAUAGUAAAAAAUAAAAAAACAGGAGGAGGCUGCAGAGUAUGCUAACAGUUUGGCCAUGAGAAUGAGAGAAGCCAAAGAAAAAUGCCAGGACCAGAUUGCCAUGAGACAAUGGGUGUCCUCACUG
RNAcentral lists this long non-coding RNA (727 nucleotides) under Mus musculus (house mouse). RNAcentral describes it as "long non-coding RNA chr4:26442460-26443187". Lineage: Eukaryota; Metazoa; Chordata; Mammalia; Rodentia; Muridae. The record is from RNAcentral.